Molecule: ribosomal RNA, 441 nt
Filed under: uncultured bacterium
Lineage: Bacteria
Description: bacterial SSU rRNA
Rfam family: Bacterial small subunit ribosomal RNA
Source: RNAcentral
AAUAUUGCACAAUGGGCGCAAGCCUGAUGCAGCCAUGCCGCGUGUAUGAAGAAGGCCUUCGGGUGUAAAGUACUUUCAGCAGUGAGGAAGGUGGAUAUGUUAAUAGCAUAUUCAUUUGACGUUAGCUGCAGAAGAAGCACCGGCUAACUCCGUGCCAGCAGCCGCGGUAAUACGGAGGGUGCGAGCGUUAAUCGGAAUUACUGGGCGUAAAGCGCAUGCAGGUGGUUUGUUAAGUCAGAUGUGAAAGCCCGGGGCUCAACCUCGGAAUUGCAUUUGAAACUGGCAAACUAGAGUACUGUAGAGGGGGGUAGAAUUUCAGGUGUAGCGGUGAAAUGCGUAGAGAUCUGAAGGAAUACCGGUGGCGAAGGCGGCCCCCCUGGACAGAUACUGACACUCAGAUGCGAAAGCGUGGGGAGCAAACAGGAUUAGAUACCCUGGUAG